CUCCCUGAUGUUAGCGGCGGACGGGUGAGUAACACGUGGGUAACCUGCCUGUAAGACUGGGAUAACUCCGGGAAACCGGGGCUAAUACCGGAUGCUUGUUUGAACCGCAUGGUUCAAACAUAAAAGGUGGCUUCGGCUACCACUUACAGAUGGACCCGCGGCGCAUUAGCUAGUUGGUGAGGUAAUGGCUCACCAAGGCGACGAUGCGUAGCCGACCUGAGAGGGUGAUCCGCCAUACUGGCACUGAGACACGACCCAAACUAAUACGGGAGGCAGCAGUAGGUAAUCUUCCGCAAUGGACGAAAGUCUGACGGAGCAACGCCGCGUGAGUGAUGAAGGUUUUCGGAUCGUAAAGCUCUGUUGUUAGGGAAGAACAAGUACCGUUCGAAUAGGGCGGUACCUUGACGGUACCUAACCAGAAAGCCACGGCUAACUACGUGCCAGCAGCCGCGGUAAUACGUAGGAGCAAGCGUUGUCCGAAAUUAUUGGGCGUAAGGCUCGCAGGCUUUUUCUUAAGUCUGAUGUGAACGCCCCCCGCCUCACCGGGGAGGGUCAUUGGAGACUGAGAACUUGAGUGCAGAAGAGGAGAGUGCAAUUCCACGUGUAGCGUUGAAAUGCGUAGAGAUGAGAAACAUCACCAGUGGCGAAGGCGGAUUAGAUACCCUGGUAGUACACGCCGUAAACGAUGAGUGCUAAGUGUUAGGGGGUUUCCGCCCCUUAGUGCUGCAGCUAACGCAUUAAGCACUCCGCCUGGGGAGUACGGUCGCAAGACUGAAACUCAAAGGAAUUGACGGGGGCCCGCACAAGCGGUGGAGCAUGUGGUUUAAUUCGAAGCAACGCGAAGAACCUUACCAGGUCUUGACAUCCUCUGACAAUCCUAGAGAUAGGACGUCCCCCUCGGGGGCAGAGUGACAGGUGGUGCAUGGUUGUCGUCAGCUCGUGUCGUGAGAUGUUGGGUUAAGUCCCGCAACGAGCGCAACCCUUGAUCUUAGUUGCCAGCAUUCAGUUGGGCACUCUAAGGUGACUGCCGGUGACAAACCGGAGGAAGGUGGGGAUGACGUCAAAUCAUCAUGCCCCUUAUGACCUGGGCUACACACGUGCUACAAUGGACAGAACAAAGGGCAGCGAAACCGCGAGGUUAAGCCAAUCCCACAAAUCUGUUCUCAGUUCGGAUCGCAGUCUGCAACUCGACUGCGUGAAGCUGGAAUCGCUAGUAAUCGCGGAUCAGCAUGCCGCGGUGAAUACGUUCCCGGGCCUUGUACACACCGCCCGUCACACCACGAGAGUUUGUAACACCCGAAGUCGGUGAGGUAACCUUUUAGGAGCCAGCCGCCGAAGGUGGGA
RNAcentral lists this ribosomal RNA (1344 nucleotides) under Bacillus velezensis. Its description in RNAcentral is "bacterial SSU rRNA". It matches the Rfam family "Bacterial small subunit ribosomal RNA". Lineage: Bacteria; Bacillati; Bacillota; Bacilli; Caryophanales; Bacillaceae. The record is from RNAcentral.